UUCGAUCGAAGAAUCAUAGGAAACCUUGGGCCGGAUACUUUUGACUACCUAAUUAAUAACGAAGUUGUCCAGCUAUUUACCUUACCAAACCAUGAGAGAACAAGUGUUCAUAACCGAAAUAAUUGGCUUUAUCAUUUAGAUGAACACCACAUUGCUCCACCAUCACUUCCUGAGACACCGCCUAUUUAUGAGUAUUUAGAUGACCUUAUCUCUGUUGAUGAAUCUGAC
This 228-nucleotide long non-coding RNA is filed under the name Lathyrus oleraceus (garden pea). RNAcentral's name for it is "Pisum sativum (pea) long non-coding RNA (PSAT_LNC024901)". Lineage: Eukaryota; Viridiplantae; Streptophyta; Magnoliopsida; Fabales; Fabaceae. The record is from RNAcentral.